CGCUAUCACUCCUACGGGAGGCAGCAGUGAGGAAUAUUGGUCAAUGGAGGGAACUCUGAACCAGCCAUCCCGCGUGUAGGAAGACGGCCUUAUGGGUUGUAAACUACUUUUAUACAGGAAGAAACGUACCCUCGUGAGGGUGCCUGACGGUACUGUAGGAAUAAGCACCGGCUAACUCCGUGCCAGCAGCCGCGGUAAUACGGAGGGUGCGAGCGUUAUCCGGAUUUAUUGGGUUUAAAGGGUCCGUAGGCGGAUUAAUAAGUCAGUGGUGAAAUCCCAUCGCUUAACGAUGGAACUGCCAUUGAUACUGUUAGUCUUGAAUGAGGGUGCAGUGGUUGGAAUGUGUAGUGUAGCGGUGAAAUGCAUAGAUAUUACACAGAACACCGAUUGCGAAGGCAGAUCACUAACCCUAAAUUGACGCUGAGGGACGAAAGCGUGGGGAGCGAACAGGAUUAGAUACCCUGGUAG
Molecule: ribosomal RNA, 468 nt
Filed under: uncultured bacterium
Lineage: Bacteria
Description: bacterial SSU rRNA
Rfam family: Bacterial small subunit ribosomal RNA
Source: RNAcentral